Lathyrus oleraceus (garden pea) is the source of this 821-nucleotide long non-coding RNA. RefSeq lists it as uncharacterized. NCBI's taxonomy places the organism in Eukaryota, Viridiplantae, Streptophyta, Magnoliopsida, Fabales, Fabaceae. The transcript has 2 exons. The record is from RefSeq and is a predicted model, not a curated record.
UCCAACGGAUCUCUCACUAAAAACAAAAAAAAAUACAAAAAGAGGAAGCUAACAAAUAGGUGACUCUCGAUCGACUGCUCUAGCUCUCUCUGAAAAGAAAAAUAAAGAAAAGAGGAUGGUUCCUCUUCUUUCUCAAUACCUCUCUCUCACUUUCUUACUAUCUGAAAAAAAAACAAAAAUAAAAAAGGAUUAAAGAUGAACCACUGUUCAUCUUCCUAACAACAACCCGUAACCACCGCGAAACCCAUCAUGAAACCUCCGUUUCCUCCUUUUCACACCUCCUUCGCUCCGCCGCAUCAACCUUCUUCAAACACACACAUUACCGGCGAACCGACCCCUCUCCGAACACAACAACCAUAACUCCAUAAAUUUUCGUCGCCGCCGCGAAAAACUUCUGCAACAAAAUAUCAACCGCGCAUCACCGACUCCUUCUGCCGUGAUUCACAACCGAUGACUCCUUUUUCUCCACAUCCUCCGUCUACGCGCAUAUCCAACACCUUGCAUCCACUACAAUCCCACACGGCCAAGAUAUCGUACCACCAUCUCCGAACUCAAUCUCCAAGAGAGAUGGAAACAUGGGAGAGAGCUUUGUGGGGAAGAAACUUUUCUUUAAUUUCAUGUUUAGAAGGGUGAUUUGAGUGAAAUAGAGGAUGUUGGUUUCUUAGAUUUUUGUUUCUUUCUCUAAAUUGCCAAGUGAUAAUUUGGAUAUGGCUAAUGUUUUUUUUGAGAAAAGUAAUGCUAGGCCUUAGGGGCGUCGCCCCAAUUGUAUAUAUUAAAUUCUUGCUCAUUUAUUUUAUUUAUCUAUUUAUUUAUUUUACUCA